GAGUAGUAGUCUUACCCCCUCAACAACAUCAUUGCUUCUCACUUUUAUGGCCAUUGCUAACAAAGUAACGGACAUAUUAUAAGCCCCUUGAACUUUUUCGUCGUCCUCAAUUGCAUGCUUGGCGUCGUAAUAGUGUAGCAGCGUUGCACCCGAGAGCACCGCCAGCGUCAGAGCCUGGGCAUGCAUCCUAUAAUCCACCACACCAAGCUUUGUAUUAGCGCCUGGGCCAUGCAUCCUAUACAGGUUUAUUCUUAUUAUAAAAUGAGAUGAUUUUUGUUUAUGAAUUUUUGAGGAUGUGAUAAAAUUUCAAGCCUAGCAUAUUCUCUAGAAAAUGUGUGGCCGUAUCACAUGACCAAUCUGUGAGCGAUUCUCCUGCAGCUUUGCAGCCAGCCUAGAGAAGCCGUAGAGUUAUUUAUCAGGACCCAAAGGGGAAAGCUCUGGUGCAGGAAGAUGCGGGAGUUCAUCUCAAUCCAAGAAUAGCUGAUUGCAAGAGUGGAGGAAAAUUCUCGGUGCGUGAGAUGCAGCAAGUUAUGAGGAGGAUCUGAAGAAUCUAUUUCACGUUAAAAUCACCAUUUAUCUCAAAAACUUAACCCGAUAAAAUAAGAUAAAUUUAUUUUAUAUUUUUUUUAUCGGAGGCACAGCUACGAAAGUGCCUACGCAGCGAAGUGGUUAUUGGUUGCGGUGUUGGAAACAACUCGGGCAAGCGGCCAUUUAAUUAAUAACUAAUGCAAGGAGUGGAGGAUGUCAAAAUUCCCAUCAGAGCAACGAGGAUUGCAAAAAAUAGUGAAAAGGAAGUAGAUAAGAGAGAGCCCGUAACUCAAUACAACAGCAACAACAGAACAACGCGGCAGCUUUAAAAUUCCCAAUUACCAUUAGGUACACAGUACGCGUACAACAAAGCGAACAUGACAUCUUGAUACGGCCGCUUAUUUAGUUCAUAUGCCCAUUUCAGGGCAAUUUAUGCGAGGAUGUAGCAGUCGCUGCAGCCAUUAGUAUAGUAGCACACCUACGAUUUUACUCUGCAGCUAUGGGACCGGGGGUCGUCGACAAUGGUAAUUGUUCUUCCUGCACCUCCGAGAAUAUGGACGGCCAGACAUUGGUGGCCGGGGACGAUAUGGGUUGGCACCAUAUCCGAUGCGGUCCGUGGCAUCCACAGGCGUCUGGCCACCAGUUGCUGCAUCCAUGCGCCAACAGCAAGUUAUAUCCGUAUUUAGAUUUAACCAACAAGCAAGAUAUAAUUAUGUUUGGAAUGUUUUCUUUCAGCGGAAAAGAUUUUUAUGGUUUCUUACGGGGGAUGCACACUAAAACCUAAGCUUAGCUGAUUUUGUUUUUGUUUUCUUUUCUUUUUUCAAGAAAAAUAUCAUGGCAGCACCACUGCCUAGGUUCGAGCCUUGGAUCUCUUCGAGAUCAAGAUGGAUGCCAACCAGUUGAGCUAAGAAUUGUGAUGGAUUCUAAUAAUGAGAUAGAUUCGAUAGCAUGGAAUAUAAAGCAAAUAUAAAUGAUGUUAUAGCGAUCUUAAGAAAAAAAAAGCAUUACAACUUACCCUAGACUAAAUGCUUUAUUUUUCAUACACAUGGCCCAUGUCUUGGUAGAGUAGGG
This 1599-nucleotide long non-coding RNA is filed under the name Phoenix dactylifera (date palm). RNAcentral describes it as "long non-coding RNA (PDAC_LNC014181)". Lineage: Eukaryota; Viridiplantae; Streptophyta; Magnoliopsida; Arecales; Arecaceae. The record is from RNAcentral.